Long non-coding RNA from Syngnathus acus (greater pipefish), 2607 nucleotides. RefSeq lists it as uncharacterized. The record is from RefSeq and is a predicted model, not a curated record. The transcript is spliced from 6 exons. Lineage: Eukaryota; Metazoa; Chordata; Actinopteri; Syngnathiformes; Syngnathidae.
GUGUGUGUAGAAUAUCCAUCAUGGCCCGCUCAUAAAGCCAAUAAUGAAGCUGUUCUGGCAAAUGAUGUGGCAUCUCCACACCUGCAUAAGUGUCCAAAGGUCAAUUUAACACCAUCGAGUAGCUCUCAGCCUGCUCAGGCCUCAUUUUUCCUCCCUUACCGCAUUGUUUAUUUUUUGUUUUUCUUCCAGUUGAUUAGUGUCCAACAUUUCAAAUUCUUUGGCUGCACAUCGCUCCUUCUUUUCCUCUCCGGCGUCUGUGCUCCAAGCAAGAAAUACAGGUCGACUUUUUAACCAUCUGUCUAGAUGGAGAAAAUAAAGUGGUAUUGAUUGGUUGAAAUGUUUCUUCUGGUAAAGUCUGCAAACUACGUUUCUGCACUGUUGUAAGAUGAUUGAGACUGGCAGCGGUGCUUGGCACGGGUAGUGCCGCGCUUAUAAUGAAGUACGCCAUUGUGUGCUUGCAUUGAAGGCAUUAUACAUCGAGUCGCUACAAGGGCGCCUGGCAUCGGACAAAAGCCAGGACUGCACUUUUCAAACUUGUCUGUAUUAUUUCACGGCCGUCUUACAUACUGUCUUACAGCGGAGGCCUUGGAGAAACGGAUCUGGCCUUGGGUGGGCCGAACUGGCCGCCAGUUUGUCACAAAACAGGCUAACUUCCAGCACCUGCCCAAAAACCGUCGACGAGAUACCUCCCCCUCCCCCAGGUGUCCAAUCACGCCGGAGGCCGAAGUGUGCAACAGGCUCCAUCUCGCAGAGGUACCCCGACCCGCCAUCGAUGAUCCGUGUAUGUGGUCCACUCCUUCUGGUGUACACCACCACUUUAGCUCCUCUGGCAAAAGCACCAAACUUGGUCCGGGGAAUCACACGCAGCCAUGAGUUUGUGGGUCCCUUUAGGAUGCACACCCAUAAGGAGAAUUAGGACAUUUGUUCCAAACUCACCAGUUCCUCGUCCCUCUGGCUCGGAAGCUUCGCCUACAUUCAGCUCCUCUAUCUGGGGGUCUCCAUGCUCUCUCCUGCUCACCCUGCCCAUGAGAUAAAUUUGACUGUGAAAUCGGGAUGUGGCGUCACCUUAUGUUUGCAUCACUGGCUGUGCUACGGCAAGUGAAGCACAAGCCGCCUCCAGCAGGAAUGGCCGGUAGAUCCAGAGCGGACUUCCCACUUUUCCCCACAGUGUCGUGACAGAUCAAUUUAGCACAAGGCUCAUCACCGGGACCUGAGUUCUGCUGCCGAUUAAAGCCAGCACCUCAAUACAUCACAUGAGGGUAAAUCUGCUGUGACAUGACUUCCUGUGUUAUAAAUCCUUCUGUAGAUGUGUGCUGUCUCUUCUUGGUGAGAUGAGCACUCAGAGAGGACUCUGACUGACAGCAAGGGGGAAGUGUCAAGAUUGACUUGGAAGCAGAAGAAUUGAAGAAGCUGUGGAUGUGCUUCCAUUUUUGACCACCAGUGUGGAGCCAGACUAUGCAAUUAAUUAAAUCAAUGUAUCCCCAUUUCAAGGCAACACCUUCAUGCAGCUCCACCCUGAGCAUGUCCACAUGCUGCCAUAUAAAUGCCGUCCCACUUAUCUAGUUCUCCUCUUGUCCAGAAGAGGGCAGCACGUCUUAAUGCAAGCAACCCAAAGUCUUCAGUCAUCUGAAAGUCUCCUGUCUUGAGUUCUUGAAAAUCGCAGACAGGCCAUUAUCGUGGAGAUUUUCUCAACAACAAAAAAAUCACCCAUGCAUGCUCUCAGCCCUCUAAUUGAAUCAUGCCCCUCUUCACUUUUUCUAAAAAGAAAAUUAUUUGGGCUGAAAUGACACCCUGCAAACACAUUGUGAUGAAUGAAAGAUGAUACAAUUUACUGCACACUUGUCUCACAUCCUCCCAUCAUCCUUAUCGUCCAUCACUUCUCAGUAUUCAACUUCUUAGUUCCAUUUCCUUCUCUGCUCACUUUUUUUUUUGUCCCCCUCUUUCCCCACCACUUUGCUUCUGCUCCACCCUGUAAUCAUGCCGGUUCAUGGCUCCCAUUCAGCCCGGUAUAUAUAGCAGUAAUUGUCGGGGUGCACUAUGGAGACUGGGCAGCGCAUGUGGACGCUCUCACAAAGCUGUUUGUAGCAAAACCUGUUGAUGGGAUUUGGGGGUACCACGGGCACACUCACAAAGGUACUUUCUCUUGGAGCCGAAAAAUGCUCACGACUGUAAAUUAACAACAUGCCUCCCUUUGUAUUCUUCACUCAGCGUGAUGUGACAUGCAGAAUAAAUGUGCCUCCUAAUGAGGUUUUGGGGUAAGAGCUUUAUGCAAAUACACGAGUCACUACAUAUUAACGGUUGCAGAGGGGAUUGAGCCUCAUUCCUCUUCAGCCGGCUGGCUUCUGAUCCGUGAAGCAGACCCGCGUAGCGUGCAAAUAGAAAACAAGCAAAAAAACAGGCGAACGGGCCGCAUUCCCAUCAGCGCUUCAUCAGCCUGAACGGGAUUGAAGUGAACGUGAGCAGCUGAAAUGAUGGUUGCCAGUUGGCUUUCAAGUGAAAACAGCAAUCUGUUUAAUCGCAAACAUAGGCCUCCCUGCCCCCCCCACCUCGAAAUGCUUGUGUGGCGUACCAAGCAUGGAACACUGCCUCCAAAAGAGAUGACGGCAA